RNAcentral lists this long non-coding RNA (5460 nucleotides) under Brassica napus (rape). RNAcentral describes it as "long non-coding RNA (BNAP_LNC005443)". The record is from RNAcentral. Lineage: Eukaryota; Viridiplantae; Streptophyta; Magnoliopsida; Brassicales; Brassicaceae.
AUGCUGAGCGCUGCGUUGUCUUCUUUCCUUGCUAGUGGUCUCAGAGGAAGAGCUUGGAGAAGAUGCGUGGGUGAUGCGUCGUCGUCUGCUGCAGUGUUCUUUUGUGGUGGCAUCAUACCUCUGCUGUUCAUUGCAGUCUUACCAGAGCGAUUUGAUAGGAUACAGUUUCUACUGGGGGUUACAUUUGUCAUGGUCGGAGCCAUCCUAGUUGUUUAUCUCGUGAUGAGGGAUAGGAAGAUGAUCCCACUGAUCCCACAAGGUGCUGAGCAACGCCCUUUCCCUUGGCUUGUAUUCUCCGUUGGCAUGGUAGGAUCUGUUUUGGUGGUCCUAUUCGCUGCUAAGAUCAACGGCUUAAGGUCGGAGCUUUUCAAAGACACAUACGGCUGCGGUAGGUACAAUCCUACAUACAAGCUCUUCUGAUACACACUACAUAACGAGUAGUAAGAUGGAUCUUUGGCUUUGGGGUAUGGUGGUGAUAUUCUUCAUUUUUCACAUGGACAUAUUAUACUCGGUUCCUCAUUUGAUUUUCUUCAUGUACAUAUGAGCUUGGUUCCUUUGGAAACUUUAAAUACAUCAUCUCACCUUGUUGUUUGCUCUUACACAAUGUUGUGGGUUUUGAUUAGUUUGUAAAUAAAUCUUUCAUUUGAUCUCUGCCUUAUCUGUUACGCAAGUAGACUGAUUGAUAAUCUACAACGAGUUUGUUUUUACAGCAGAACACAAAAUAUACUAGUAGGCAAACAGUAAUACAACAAACGUGUUGUUUUAAAAAGGUCACCUGUCCAAACUCUUUCUUUUAUCUCUUUGGGUAGGCGAAUAGAGCACAUAAACAAGAAAAUUUUACACUGGGAAACACAAUUUGAGUUCUCAAUUAUUCUAAAAGACACAUCUCUAGUUGACACACUUUUUUUUAGCAAUUUUACCAAAGUAACAUUUAGUUAAUGAGAUGGUCUAUUUUGUUAGCAUUUCUAAUUAGACAUAAUCAAUUUGCUUUUUGCUUCUUUUUUAAACAAAUAAACUAUCUUUUUUUAUCACCUAAUAAUUUUAUCUCUUCAAAUCUCUAAAAUGACAAAAGACUUACAAAGAGAACCCGUGACCCCUUUCUCCUUCGAUAUCUUUCGAUCUAGAAAUUGAUCUAUGACAUCAGAGGCAAGAGAAAUUGAAUCUUAAUCUUCUAGAUCUGAAAUCGUCUCUAAUUCCCUAAUCUCUCUUUCGUGAUCUUCUCGAACUCUAUUUCUCUCCCCCGCCAACUGUUCUUUCUCGCCACCGUUGUUUCCCAGACAAUCUUCAACUGCGCCCUACAUCCCGGUGAGACUGCACUCUAGAUACUUACAUAACACAACGCUUCAUCAUGCAAACAUUCUUUCACCGAUUCUUUUUAUUUUCUUUCUUAGGUCCCACUUCAGCCGGAGGAACAAGAAUCACUUGAAAGCCACUCUCCUAUCAUUAGCCAAUAUGCCACACAACACAAUCUCCACCCAGACCAAAGCCUACAAGAUCACACUGGAAUUGUUGCCAACAUCGGCAUCCAUACACUCACUGACCACCAGAGCCUUGACCACAACACUCCCGACACAACAACACUCCCCCUAACCACGAGAGUCUCAUCCACAACACACCCGACCACCACAACAAUCACACUAACCACGAGAGUCCCAUCCACAACACACAUGAGGACCCCAAUCCAACCACUAACAAUGGGAGUUUCAUCACCGUUCUAGGUAUUGACUACACUUUGGUCGAUCACCGUUCCACUACCGAGAACUCGUUGCAGCUUAUACAUCCUUGUAAGCAGUAGCUAUUAUGUAUCUAUUUCAUUAAUGUCGUUGAUGUUGUUGUCGGGAUAUGUGAGGUGCGGAUAUGACUGCUGUGGACAGAGGAUGUGUGGAUGUGAUCGGUGUGGACGGCAAUUGUGUGGAUGUGGUGGCUGUGGACAUCAGAGUAGGGGGAGGGGGGGUGGUCAAGUGCGCAAUGGUCAUAUAAAAAGUGGUCAGAUGAUAUAUGGAUAACUAUGAAGAUCCCACCUUUGUCUUCCAUGUUCUGGGUAUUUACGAAAUUUGUAUAAGAUGAUAGCUUUUGCAUUUUGUAAACGUUUGUAUUUCUUUUCGUAUUAUACAAUUAGGUUUUGUUCAUAUACAUUUUUGUUAUAAACCAAAAGAAAAAUCUAUCGUUAGAUCUUGUGUCUGUAAGUAGAUCCAACGCCCCAAAAAUUUCACUUUUACCCAUAUAUCUACUUUUUCGUUUUAACUUUUAUUAUUUAUUGUAACUAAAAACAAACUUAGUUUCAUUUUGCUCAACUUACGUUUUCUUUCUUAAGAUAAACACAUUUCUCUUUACAUAAAAAGUAGGGUUAUUUCUGUCCACAAAAAAACAGCUGUCAUGAAAAAGUGUGUCAAAGAGAGAAUGUGUCUCUUUACGUAAACGAAAGACAUAUUGUGUCUCUCAGUGUAACUCUCUCAAGCAUCAAAGGAUGACACAUCAAUUAUUCAUGAUUUUUUUACUAGGAAUUAGCAAGGCACGCGUUUUGUUUCUUCGUAGCGUCUUCAUUAAUUUACGAGGAAAUAGCAAGACCCAUAUUUUUUGUAUGAGAAAAUACAAAAGCCCGCGUUUUCUUAUUACGAAGUCUUUUUGACGAAUUCUGCUUACGUGAAAUUAACGAGUCCCGCAUUUAUUAUUUUUAGGAUUCGUCGUAAUUUCUUCGUUAGUUUACGAGGAAUUAACGAGGAUUAUGUUUAAAUCUCUAAAAUCCGAAUCCCCAAACCCCAUCUUCCUUAUCUUCUACUACAUAUAUUCCAAACCCCAAACCCAUCUUCCCUUUAACCUUCACAGGAGGCCUGUCUGACAUGUCCGAUUAACUGCUUUUUAUUGGCUGAUUAUUUUGGGUGACGUGGCAGCCUAUAAUCUCUGCAUAUAGGGCUUUUAGUAUUGUGAUUGUUGGUAUAUACUUUCUUUGUUUAAUAAAGAUGUAAGUUUUAUAAUUUUCAUAUAUAUUAAAGAAAAACAUAUUAAAUAUUGAUUAUUAAUGCACUAUUCUUUUGUAAUUAACUAUUUUCAAUAAUUUUUAACCAAUAAAGUUUCAAUAAACACAUUUGUCUUUUUGAAAUUUACAAUUUAACAUUACAUAAUGCAUUGAAAAUAUGUAAAAUGUAUUUUUUGAAACAUUUUUUUGUAGAAUAUAGAUUUUUUUGACAGAGAGAAGUAUAAAUAUGUCAAUUUUUUGGUCUGGUUUAUGAUAAGAAUGUGUUAAAGCCAUACAAUCAUUGGUAUUGAUGGUAACAAUGUUGGAUACUUUUUUCCAGAAGAAAUGGAGGAUGAAGAAUUAGACGAAGAGGGUUUCUUGUUUUUCCUGCAGCCACCACUGACCAGAAUAUUCUUUAGAAUGCUGCCUUUGGUCCAGUAACAGAGACAUGAUUUGCACAAGUAAUGAAGAUGUUGUUAUUGUAGUAACAUAAAUUAGUAUGUGUUGGCUCGCAACAAGGACACUUCCAAGCAGGGGCGAAGCCAGACUUAAUGAAAAACUUAGAUGGGUGGUGCAUCAAACUUGGGUUCUUUAAAUAUUGUGAGUGCCAUAGGCAAAUAAGUCAACUUCUAACUCAUAUGUCCACCAUAGAAAGUAAAUUUUUUAAAUAAGAUUGGAUGCAUUUGCACCCAUAAAGCUUAACGUAGCUUCGCCCCUGCUUCCAAGGAUGGUUGUGAGCUGUGUAAGACCCCAUCAUCUCAUUCUCACCAAAUUGUGAAAACCCGAGAAAAGCACAUGCAUAAUAUCAAUUAUAUCAAAAUAGUCAACAAAAAUAUAUCCUUCAAAAUCUAGUUGUAAUUAAGUGUACAAUAAUCUUUUGAUAUUUUAGAAAAUUGGUAAACAUAAUUUUGGUGUUUUAUUGAUAUUGAGUAUAGUAUAUACAAGAAAAAGUUUCAAAAAUUUGGACCAUGAAAAUAUGUGAAUCCUUUUUACUAGCUAAAUAGUUUAGAAAUUUUAAACAAAAUGAAUUGGACCCUACGCAAAUGUGCCACCUUCACAUAUACAUGCACAAACACAUAUAAAGAAUGGACCUUAAGAAAGAGAGAUGGAAAAUAACUUAUCUAUUUCAUCAUUUACAUAUGUGAUCUAUACAUUUCAUGUGGGUAUGUUGUUUGCAUUCUUCAGACUUCACCCCCUGAUGGUUUUGCUUAAUUUUGAGUACACUAGAACAUAAAAUUGAAUACCAAGAAGAGAAAUAGAAAUAUACAUUUUUGGACAUUUUUUGCUGUGUUAAUUGAUAUUGGAUGCUUUACUUUGAAUAAUUAGAUGAUUGAAAUUUACAUAUUUUUUAUUAUAAAAAAUGUUGAUAUUAGCACAUCACAUGUUGAUAAUUUUUUGACAUUUAAACAAAUAUAUACUAUGAACACUACAUUAAAAAAAAGUGAGAAUAUCAUAUUAGUAUAAUAGUUUUAUAAUUUUGGUGAACAAGUUUCAUGCAGUUGUUACCAUUCGACGUAAAUGAGUCCGUCUUUGUGGAUAAGUAUGGGCUGAAAAUGAUUGAACCGGGUUAACCGUACAAAUCCUGAUCAACCCGGAUUAAAGCAAUUAAAAUCUAAUUUUAAAACGUUUUUUUUCUGUUGCAAUCGCAGUUUCCAAGACGGCGUUUUCCACGGUAUAAAACAGAAACGAAAGCGCCAAAAAGAAAAGAAACGUUGAUUAUUAUCUCUCAGUCUCUGAGUCAUCUUCGUCUUCUUCGUCUUCCUCUGAGAAGCUCGCGCUUACCUUCCUUCUUCCAUCGCUCUUCCUCUGUAAGUAGACUCAGAGUCUCUUGUCUCUUGUACGCUACGCCUCUGAGAUUCUCUCAGUACUCAUACGGUUCUCUGUAUCUUUUAGCUUAGCUCUUUUUGUCUCUUUCGUGUACGUUCGCUAAAGGCCUAAAGCCGAUCACUUUCUUGCUGGGUUUAUGAUUCUCCUUUGGAAAGAUUGAGUCUUUUCACAUUCUUGUUUUGUGAUUGGGAUGUAUAAUGCGAUUGUUCUUGUUGAUUUACUCUGAGACUUGUUUGCGCAUGACUGCUUCUUAUCUCAUCCUUGUGUCCCUCUUUCUUUUUCAGCAUAAUGGAGAUGCAAAGGAACGACCCAGUGGAUAGAAUCCCUCUGUUCGUAAGUGCUUUGAAUGGCGCCAUACUGGUCGCAUCUUUCAUGGCCAACCCAGCAGACAUGCCAGUUAACCUACGCCUCUCGAUGUGGCUUUUGAGCUUGUCCAUGCUGAGCGCUGCGUUGUCUUCUUUCCUUGCUAGUGGUCUCAGAGGAAGAGCUUGGAGAAGAUGCGUGGGUGAUGCGUCGUCGUCUGCUGCAGUGUUCUUUUGUGGUGGCAUCAUACCUCUGCUGUUCAUUGCAGUCUUACCAGAGCGAUUUGAUAGGAUACAGUUUCUACUGGGGGUUACAUUUGUCAUGGUCGGAGCCAUCCUAGUUGUUUAUCUCGUGAUGAGGGAUAGGAAGAUGAU